GACGAACGCUGGCGGCGUGCUUAACACAUGCAAGUCGAACGGAAAGGCCCUGCUUUUGUGGGGUGCUCGAGUGGCGAACGGGUGAGUAACACGUGAGUAACCUGCCCUUGACUUUGGGAUAACUUCAGGAAACUGGGGCUAAUACCGGAUAGGAGCUCCUGCUGCAUGGUGGGGGUUGGAAAGUUUCGGCGGUUGGGGAUGGACUCGCGGCUUAUCAGCUUGUUGGUGGGGUAGUGGCUUACCAAGGCUUUGACGGGUAGCCGGCCUGGGAGGGUGACCGGCGACAUUGGGCCUAAGAGACGGCCCAGACGCCUACGGGAGGCAGCAGUGGGGAAUAUUGCACAAUGGGCGGAAGCCUGAUGCAGCAACGCCGCGGGUGGGAUGACGUCCUUCGGGUUGUAAACCGCUUUCGCCUGUGACGAAGCGUGAGUGACGGUAAUGGGUAAAGAAGCACCGGCUAACUACGUG
This 468-nucleotide ribosomal RNA is filed under the name uncultured bacterium. RNAcentral describes it as "partial 16S ribosomal RNA". It matches the Rfam family "Bacterial small subunit ribosomal RNA", at positions 28 to 507 of the family's 1533-position model. The record is from RNAcentral.